UACGUAGGGUGCGAGCGUUGUCCGGAAUUAUUGGGCGUAAAGAGCUUGUAGGCGGUUUGUCGCGUCUGCUGUGAAAAUCCGGGGCUCAACCCCGGACUUGCAGUGGGUACGGGCAGACUAGAGUGUGGUAGGGGAGACUGGAAUUCCUGGUGUAGCGGUGAAAUGCGCAGAUAUCAGGAGGAAUACCGAAGGCGAAGGCAGUCUUCCAAGCCGUUAUUGACGCUCAACUGCGAAGGUGUGGGUAUCAAACAGGAUUAGAUACCCGGGUAGUCCCU
Molecule: ribosomal RNA, 275 nt
Filed under: uncultured prokaryote
Description: partial 16S ribosomal RNA
Rfam family: Bacterial small subunit ribosomal RNA
Source: RNAcentral